CCUACGGUGGGCAGCAGUGAGGAAUCUUGGUCAAUGGACGAGAGUCUGAACCAGCCAAGUAGCGUGAAGGAUGACUGCCCUAUGGGUUGUAAACUUCUUUUAUAUGGGAAUAAAAUGAUCCACGUGUGGGAUUUUGUAUGUACCCUAUGUAUACGGAUCGGCUAACUACGUGCCAGCCGCCCCGGUAAUACGGAGGAUCCGAGCGUUAUCCGGAUUUAUUGGGUUUAAAGGGAGCGAAGGUGGAUUGUUAAGUCAGUUGUGAAAGUUUGCGGCUCAACCGUACAAUUGCAGUUGAAACUGGCAGUCUUGAGUACAGUAGAGGUGAGCGGAAUUCGUGGUGUAGCGGUGAAAUGCGUAGAUAUCACGAAGAACUCCGAUUGCGAAGGCAGCUCACUGGACUGCAACUGACACUGAGGCUCGAAAGUGUGGGUAUCAAACAGGAUUAGAUACCCGAGUAGUC
RNAcentral lists this ribosomal RNA (460 nucleotides) under uncultured bacterium. Its description in RNAcentral is "partial 16S ribosomal RNA". It matches the Rfam family "Bacterial small subunit ribosomal RNA", at positions 338 to 795 of the family's 1533-position model. The record is from RNAcentral.